CCUACGGGUGGCAGCAGUAGGGAAUCUUUCACAAUGGGCGAAAGCCUGAUGGAGCAACGCCGCGUGCAGGAUGAAGGCCUUCGGGUUGUAAACUGCUUUUAUAAGCGAGAAAUAUGAUGGUAACUUAUGAAUAAGGAUCGGCUAACUACGUGCCAGCAGCCGCGGUCAUACGUAGGAUCCGAGCAUUAUCCGGAGUUGCUGGGUGUAAAGAGUUGCGUAGGUUGCAUAAUAAGUAGCUAGUGAAAUCUGGUGGCUCAACCAUUCAGACUAUUAGCUAAACUGUUAAGCUCGAGACCGUUAGGGGUAACUGGAAUUUCUAGUGUAGGAGUGAAAUCCGUAGAUAUUAGAAGGAACACCAAUAGCGUAGGCAGGUUGCUGGGACGGUUCUGACACUAAGGCACGAAAGCGUAGGGAGCAAACGGGAUUAGAUACCCCUGUAGUC
This 442-nucleotide ribosomal RNA is filed under the name uncultured bacterium. RNAcentral describes it as "partial 16S ribosomal RNA". It matches the Rfam family "Bacterial small subunit ribosomal RNA", at positions 338 to 795 of the family's 1533-position model. The record is from RNAcentral.